CGAAGGUAGCCAAGUGGAUCAAGG
Molecule: transfer RNA, 24 nt
Filed under: Drypetes lateriflora
Lineage: Eukaryota; Viridiplantae; Streptophyta; Magnoliopsida; Malpighiales; Putranjivaceae
Description: partial tRNA-His
Source: RNAcentral